UGGAGAGUCGCAUUCUUGGAUGGAUCUGUCAGUGAUCAUUGUUGCAUCACCGUUCCUUCGGAAAAGUUUAACUUUCCGCCGACUCCAGGAGCAACUGUUAAAGCCAAAUUUGAACACGCGAACAGCUUUUUGCCAUCGGUAUCAUAUUAAUUAUGAGUAACUUUCUCAAUUUAAAAUGUUCAGCUUGUCGCACAAUGUGGCAGUUUUGAAUGGUUUCGUGAUGUAACGGUGGUGAAUUCCAAAGUUGUGGUAUGAAAAUCGAAUUAUUUUACCAUUUUACAAUCAACUUGUUUCAGAUCUUCGCUAUUGUGCACUUCUCAAAUGAAUGUCUAGAAAGAGAUCCAUUUAAAAUAAAUGGAAUGGAUUACAGCAUUAUCGAGAACGAGAAUACGGACUUUCAAAAGAUUGUACUUCCAACUCGUGUGCUUCAAACCUCAAUCACAAGUAGAUCAAAUUUGCAAAACACCGACACUCCUUUUAUUUAUCGAAUCGGCGUAUGCUGGGAGCCAAUAAGUUUUGAAAACGGCGUGACUGUCAAUUGGAGAUAUUAUGCUGAUUUUCCAAUUACUCCCAUUUUCGAGCUCUACUACAGAGAAACCGUACGUUGAGCUAAGAGCCUUAAAGCAAAAUAUACAACCGAUUUUUCAGACUUUGCCUUAUAUCGCCGAGUCAAUGGUAUAUGGAGUUUUGGAAGGAGUCGUUAUCGCUGAAAAUGAUCACGGAGCACUUUUUUGGACACCGAAAAUGGGAUGCGCCAUUUUACCAAGCACGUCUCUUGACACUCCAAUGCCUUCCCUCGGAAGUGUUCAUGUGAUUCUCGUAAAGUGAGUAAUUGGUAAGUAUGUUAAUAUCAUAAAAUCAUUUUCUUCAGACGAUGUAUCCCCGAAAAUUCGUUUGGUUUCUCUUGCUCAUACGAGUUACUCUCCAGUUUUCGUUCAACGGAAUGGCCGAAUCUGAAAGUCAUCACUGAUCAGAUCACCAGAAAAGUAUACGUGAGUUACCCAGCAUUCGUUUCGUCAAACAAUUGAAAUAUUUCAGAUUGAAGCGAAUGCAAGCUGCCGCAGUAUGAUGGAGAAUCAAGACUUUCCAAGUAUGAAUGUUCCACAUAUCGGGAAAGUGUUCAGAGGUUUACAACAGUACCGUGAUAAACUUUCUGCCGGUCAUCUCUACGAUUUUCGAAUGGAAUUUCAGAAAGAAGAAGGCUCCUUCGUGCCAACGAUUGUGGAUCUAUGCCUGGUACAUACUUUGAAAAAAUAAUAUAAAGGACUCCAAGAUAAAUGAAAGCAACUAAAUCUUGAUACUGCUCCUUGUUGUGUGAUUUUUAAUUGCUUUAAUUUCAGGAAGAGGACGAGAUGGUUGAUUGUCGAGUCGUCUACAUUUCCAAUGAAACGAGCACUUAUUUUGCAGUUCUGGAUCCGUCAAGUAACUCGUUUGAUCGCUUCAAACAGAGCAUCGAUUACAUUGCAAUCCCAUUCCGAGUAUUGUUUUGUGCUAAUGGUGUACAUGUGAAGAAUGAGGAAUUGUUACUGAAUUCGUACAAGGUCAGAGUUAGGUAAGGUAAAAACUGAGAUAUCCAUUAUUAAUAAUUGAAUUUCCAGAGUUCCGAGAAACCGUCACGACGUUGUGAAUGCCAUUCACGUUGAACACGUUAUUCAAAGUCCAAAAGAUCCAGCAUAUUUUAUAACGAAUGGCUCCGUAUGGGUAUGGAAUAUUAUUCAACUUUUAAUAACAACAUUUUUCUUUUCAGCUUCGAACUACGGUUAAAUUUCAAAACGCCUCCAGAUACGAGCUUCUCUGUCCUCUCCUCGAGCAGAAGAUUAUCGAUGUGAAUGGUGUCACUGCAGCGAUGUCUCUGACACAAGAAUUCACGGUCCACGCUCAAUUGUUAGUAAUUUUUAUUUGAAUUAUCUGUGAGAUAAUUAUUUUUCUUUCAGCGUUUUGAUGGAGAGAAACGUUCCUGUUUUUGUUGUUCGGCAACUGGCUUCAACUGUUCGUGAGCAUCCGAGAACGACGAAUUACCCAUCCAGAAGUCUCAAUUUGUCUUACGAAGUUUCCGGAGCUUUGGCAAGAACCAAUCCAAACGGUCAAUUAUCAGCUGCUGAUAAUAACAUUGUCUUAAUUAACGAUUCCAUCAGUUUGGAUCACAAUCUGCCCGACACCGGAGAAUAUCCAACAAUUCUGAACGAGUCAUCAUUCGAAAGACAGCUCUUGUUCGACAAUCAAAGUAUCGCGGAUAGUGCUUCAACUUCCGGAGAUUUCAUUUUAACGGAAUCAGUUUAUGAAUCAUCCAGUGCUGCUUCAACUUGUACAGUCAUCGACAGAAACGACGCGAGAUUUUCUGCGUUAAAUGAUGACUCCAAUAUUCUCAUCUCCGAAUCCUGGCUUGAUUCGACAAAUCAGCAUUCAGAAACAACUAUGGAUACUCCUGAGAUCAUAACUGAGUCUUUCUACGAAUCCACUCAUGAUCAAGCUUCUAGUCGUGCAUCAACUGUGGACAGACUAGCUUCAGAUGUUGAUAAAAUUAGCAUUGGUCGUCCUGAUUAUUCACCUCCACCAAGACGUCGAAUAUUCGGAUACAGUACUCCCGGUGAUAGAGUAAGACCGAGAAACAGUUAUGGCUCGAGUUCCAGUGGAUCAUUAAACGGACGCCCAAAACGUCGUGCUCCAUAUGGAUUCAGGCAGAUCAGGAAUAUCACGCCGCAUAAUGUGCUACUGAGAGAUAUUAUCUAUAAUAAUAUGUAAGUUCAAAAUCGUUAUAAAUUUUCGUGUCUUGAUUAUUCAUAUUUUCAGAAACAAUCGAAAAAUGUUUGUUGAACAGAAUAAAAAUGCCAUUCUCAAAUGCUGGAAUCGUUUACCGCUGGCGCAAGUGACACGAACGAAGAAAAUCUUCUGUACAGUAAUCGCCGUCGAAAGCAUCAAAUUUCCACCAUCAUUUGAUGAUACUUGCAUCAAAGGACUCGUACGUUUCGCUGUUGUAUAUGAUGAUAUGAACGUCAAGAACACGUCUGUCGUUGUUCCGAUCGGGUAUAUAUUAAUGUAAAGUUUUCUCAAAGUUAAUACUAAAAAUUUUAGAGGAAAUUUCAAUAAUCUGCCGAAAUCGUUCCAGUUAGGGGAUGCGUAUAAAGUUUUCCACUUUUCAUCCUACAAAGAUGUAAGUUUGCUUUUCUAACUUGCAAUGGACCUUCUGAUUCACUGAUGAUAGUUGAAUUUCUGAUUAAUACGAAGCUUUUUGUCCUAAUUGUUGCGUUUUUCAGCUCAUUUGUCGGAUCGGAGGAUUUUCGCACGGCCUCAAUGGAGAAUUGAGUCGCGUGGCUCCAGUGAAUUGUAUUUCCAACCCCGAAACAGUGAAUGGUCGGUACGGACAAAGAUAUUUGAGAUGUACUGUAAAUGCAGCGAGACCAGCGAUUUCAGAAAUCGAAAGUGAUGUUUUCGAAUUGUGGACAGUCCAUGGUCUUCCUGGAUUCAUCAUUGUGGAAAAAGUCCCACUCUUGGUCAGUUUAUUUUCUUUUUUGAUGUUGACUUUUUUAUCAUUCCAGAUGAACCAUUUGAAUAAAGAACCAAUUAAUCCAGAUGUGCACCAUCAACAUAUGUAUACUUGCAUUAUUGAGCCCCUGGCUGGAGUGAGUUUACGUUUAGCUAUUUCCAUAGAAACACUGCAAAAAUGAGAUUUCAUAUUUCACAAACCUCUUUUUUCGGAAUUUAUCUCUGCCGUAUCUCUCUAUAUGUUCUGGGUUUAUAUCAUUUACUUUUUGUUUCAGGGCCCUGUGGAAGCUUCAAUUCUCAAAGAUGUUAAAGAAGGUGAAGACAUUUGCAUAUUCUGGAGACUUGUCGUCGAGUUUUCCGAUACUGUUCCACUUCCCAGAUUAAAGGAAAAAACUGACAAGGUUGUGCCACAGAUAAGAACAGAACCGGUGCAAAGUGGCACUUUUUCUGUGGACGACUACGGAUGUUGGGAAACUUUACGAAUCAAUUCGAUUUUGGCUCAAGAGAAGCUUGACAGAAUGCGGGCCGUUGGCGAUCCAAGAGUUAAGAUGAUUGACGGACCAGAUUUGAGACCAGAAAUCGAGGUUCGAAAGGUCGAUGUGAAUACGAGACGAGAGAAAAUGUUCGCAGCGUUUGAUGCACUUCUGGAGAAGUUGCCACAACUUCACAGCGAAGGAAUUCUCGGAUACGUCCUGGAGGAUGAUUUACGAGUAAAGAUUAAAAAAUUGACGCCAAUGAACGAUAAUAAUCAUAAAUUUACAUUCACAUUCAGGUGAGUUCGAAAUAAAACUUUUAGAUGUAUUUAUCAUAUUAUCCUGAUUCUUUCAGAAACGGCUCGCUGGAAAUCGGUGUGAAUUACCUCACGGAUAUGCUCACUAGAGGAAAAAUAUACAAAGUGAUGAAUGAGAUGAAAAAACAUGUUCCUCUGCUUAAGGUGUUGUCAGAUUGCAUCGGUCUCAAUACAACUUAUAUCAAAAAAACUGAUGCAGUGAAGAUGAUGGUUAGUUCUAAAUUUCAGUACUGUUCACGCAUAAUUAUCUAUUUAUUUUCAGUUGCAUUACAUGUACCGAAACGAGCUACACACGUAUUUGUGAGAAAUCGACAUAAUUUUGAUAGUUUCUUUUUUUAUCCGCUUUCAAUUGCCAGAAAACCCUUUAUUUUUUCUUUUUUUUUCACUUUCUUCUUCAAUAAAACCCAUUUUGUUCUUAAUUUGUCUUGUUCGACAUUUACCAAAUUGGAAAUUGGGAGUUAUUUAAAACCAUGUAGUUUUUCAGUCUCAGAAUUAAUUUCCUCCAAUUAAACUAAUUUUAGUCACCAUUUCCGUCGUUGUAGGCCUGAAAUGUUUAUCUCGGUUACUGUAGUUUUUCAAGGUGCAUGCAUUCCCACUCGAAGGUCUCACAGCGACCCGCCCGUGCAACCUUUUGUUUUUGAUUCCAACGAACUCUUAUCCUACAUUUAUUUCGUUGAAUUUCGUUCUUUUUUGUUAAGAAAAUAGCGAAAUUGAGAUAUAUUUUACUUGAAAAUUAUUCCAGACGAUUUUUGACUUCUUUGAAACAUUUUUAAUUCAGAUUUACGAGUUUCUGUGACUUGCCGAUGAUUAUCACCACAAAACAAUGCAUUUUUAUAAAUACGGUGUUUUGAUUAAUCAGCUCAGCGAUUCGUUUGAGG
RNAcentral lists this small RNA (5151 nucleotides) under Caenorhabditis elegans. RNAcentral describes it as "Unclassified non-coding RNA C28A5.13". Lineage: Eukaryota; Metazoa; Nematoda; Chromadorea; Rhabditida; Rhabditidae. The record is from RNAcentral.